Molecule: ribosomal RNA, 329 nt
Filed under: uncultured eukaryote
Lineage: Eukaryota
Description: partial 18S ribosomal RNA
Rfam family: Eukaryotic small subunit ribosomal RNA
Source: RNAcentral
CCCUUAGAUGUUCUGGGCCGCACGCGCGCUACACUGACGAAUGCAACGAGCUUAUAACCUUGGCCGAAAGGUCUGGGUAAUCUCCAAAUUUCGUCGUGAUGGGGAUAGAUUAUUGCAAUUAUUAAUCUUCAACGAGGAAUGCCUAGUAAGUGCAAGUCAUAAGCUUGCGCUGACUACGUCCCUGCCCUUUGUACACACCGCCCGUCGCUACUACCGAUUGAAUGAUUUAGUGAGGACUUCGGACUGGGACCGAUGCGGCUUUCGGGCUGCGUCGGUAUUCUGGAAAGAUGUCCAAACUGUAUCAUUUAGAGGAAGUAAAANUCGUANCA